RNAcentral lists this long non-coding RNA (337 nucleotides) under Homo sapiens (human). RNAcentral's name for it is "HSALNT0329487". Lineage: Eukaryota; Metazoa; Chordata; Mammalia; Primates; Hominidae. The record is from RNAcentral.
GAUGGAGUCUCACUUGUUGCUCAGGCUAGAGUGCCAUGAUACAAUCAAGGCUCAUUGCAGCCUUGACCUCCUGGGCUCUAGUAAUCCUCUCACCUCAGCCUCCUGAGUAGGCUCCUAAGUAUCCUCCCACCUUGGCCUCCCAAAGUGCUGUAAUUACAGGCAUGAGCCACCAUGCCUGGCCAAAAUUUACUGUCUUAAUCGUUUUUUUAUUCUUUUGAUUAUAGCCAUUCUAGUGGUAUCUUGUGGUUUUAAUUUGCAUUUCCCGAAGAUCAUAUUCAGCAUCUUUUUAUAUAACCCAGGAGUUCAAGACCAGCCAGGGCAACAUGGCAAAACCCCU